Molecule: long non-coding RNA, 330 nt
Organism: Branchiostoma floridae (Florida lancelet)
Lineage: Eukaryota; Metazoa; Chordata; Leptocardii; Amphioxiformes; Branchiostomatidae
Exons: 3
Source: RefSeq, a predicted model, not a curated record
AGGUGGUGUUCCAGGCCAUUAUAGGGCAGGGGGAUAUUUACGGGUACGGUGAUAUCGGGCUGGACGACGUGACAGUUCGAGAGGGGCUAUGUCCUUGGCCAGAGUUUGACGACUGCUUGAGCUCCCCUUGCCUGAAUAACGGCACGUGCACAGACGGGAAGGACAACUACACCUGCACGUGUGGGGAACAGUUCUACGGGCGGAACUGUGAGCACGAUAUUGAUGAUUGCAAGAGCGCCCCCUGCCUCAACAACGGUACCUGCAUUGACGGCGACCGGAAUUACACCUGCAUCUGCAGCGACGCGUUCUAUGGAGGCGACUGUGAGAUCG